This 465-nucleotide ribosomal RNA is filed under the name uncultured bacterium. RNAcentral's name for it is "partial 16S ribosomal RNA". It matches the Rfam family "Bacterial small subunit ribosomal RNA", at positions 28 to 507 of the family's 1533-position model. The record is from RNAcentral.
GACGAACGCUGGCGGCGUGCCUAACACAUGCAAGUCGAACGGAAAGGCCCCUUUGGGGGUCCUCGAGUGGCGAACGGGUGAGUAACACGUGCGUAACCUCCCCUUGACUUCGGGAUAACUUCAGGAAACUGGGGCUAAUACCGGAUAGGAAUCCUUGCUGCAUGGUGGGGGUUGGAAAGCUUCGGCGGUUUUGGAUGGACUCGCGGCGUAUCAGCUCGUUGGUGGGGUAGUGGCUUACCAAGGCUUUGACGGGUAGCCGGACAUGGAGGGCGACCGGCCACAUUGAGACUGAGAUGCGGCCCCGGCUCCGACGGGUGGCAGAAGGGGGGAAGAUUGCACAAUGAGCGGGGGGCUGAUGCAGAAAGGCCGCGGGCGGGAUAGCGGUCUUCGGGUUGUAGACCGCAUUCAGCAGGAGCGGGGCUUGUGGUGACGGUACCUGCAGAAGAAGCACCGGCUAACUACGUG